Molecule: non-coding RNA, 28 nt
Filed under: Rattus norvegicus (Norway rat)
Lineage: Eukaryota; Metazoa; Chordata; Mammalia; Rodentia; Muridae
Source: RNAcentral
UAAAGAGGCUGGGAGUAUGUGGACACCC